CCCCUCUCCCUCCCUCUCCCUCUCUCUCUCUCUCUCUCUCUCUCUCUCUCUCUCUCUCUCUCUCUCGCUCGCUGUUUUUUCUCAUCUCAUUGGUCUGAGCUCCCACACUAAUGUGUUUCGACCAAUCCCGUUCGUCUCCCUCUCUCUCCCCCGCUCUCUCUCUCCUUCUCCCGGAUAGCCUCUGUAUGUCAGAGGUAUUGUUCCCGGUAGAGAGGGCUUAACGCAGACCCACACACACACUCACACACAAACACACACGCCAAAGACGCUCAGAGACACUCGCUGUGCUCCGCCGCGGGAAACUGCGUCGCGGUCGGAGGAAACGGACCAGGAACUCUCUCUCGCUCCCGAUCGAACCUCCUCCGUCUCUCGCUCUGUCGAAGCACCGCUACAGCAACCGGCUGCCCUCAGGAGAGACGUCCUCUAAACCCAGGGGAAACGUCCUCUAGACCCAGGAGAGAGGUCCUCUAGACCCAGGAGAGACGUCCUCUAGAGCCAGGAGAGAGGUCCUCUAGACCUAGGAGAGACGUCCUCUAGACCCAGGAGAGAGGUCCUCUAGACCCAGGAGAGACGUCCUCUAGACCUCAAGGAGGGUCCAGUAGAGACCAGGAGGUCCAUCGCGGGGGGGGGGGAACCAUGGCGCACGCCGCAGCCCACCUGAAGAAGGCCCGGUCCGAGAUGGAGCCGCCGGCGGACCUGAAGGCUCUGGAGAAGGCCAAGGAGAGGAGGAGGAGGUCCCGGGAACGGGCGGAGCGCAAACGCAAGUCGGACAGCAACACCAGCUUCCUGCGAGCAGCGAGAGCCGGCAACGUAGACAAGGUUCUGGAAUAUUUGAAGGGAGGCGUGGACAUCAGCACCUGCAACCAGAAUGGGCUCAACGCACUGCACCUGGCCGCUAAGGAGGGCCACAUGGAGCUGGUGGAGGAGCUGCUGGACCGCGGAGCCGGAGUGGACUCUGCUACCAAGAAAGGGAACACAGGGCUCCACAUCUCCUCUCUGGCGGGCCAGCUGGACGUGGUGAAAAUCCUCAUCAAACGGGGCGCUGAGAUCAACUCACAAUCUCAGAAUGGCUUCACUCCGCUCUACAUGGCGGCCCAGGAGAACCACCUGGAGGUGGUGCGGUACCUGCUGGAGCACGGCGGGAACCAGAGCACCGCCACCGAGGACGGCUUCACCCCGCUGGCGAUCGCUCUGCAGCAGGGCCACAAUCAGGUGGUGUCGCUGCUGCUGGAGAACGACACCAAGGGGAAGGUCCGUCUGCCCGCGCUGCACAUCGCCGCCCGCAAAGACGACACCAAGUCGGCUGCGCUGCUGCUGCAGAACGACCACAACGCCGACGUCCAGUCCAAGAUGAUGGUUAAUAGGACCACAGAGAGUGGCUUCACUCCUCUGCAUAUCGCUGCUCACUACGGGAACGUCAACGUAGCGACGCUGCUGCUGAACCGCGGGGCGGCUGUGGACUUCACCGCGCGGAACGGCAUCACUCCCCUGCAUGUGGCCUCCAAGCGAGGGAACAGCAGCAUGGUGGGUCUGCUGCUGGACCGCGGCUCACAGAUCGACGCCAAGACCAGGGACGGGCUGACCCCCCUCCACUGUGCGGCGCGGAGCGGUCACGACCCGGCGGUGGAGCUGCUGCUGGAGAGAGGAGCCCCCAUGCUGGCCCGCACCAAGAACGGCCUGUCCCCCCUUCACAUGGCGGCGCAGGGCGACCACGUGGACUGUGUGAAGCACCUGCUGCAGCACGCCGCCCCAGUGGACGACGUCACCCUGGACUACCUGACCGCCCUGCACGUGGCGGCGCACUGCGGCCACUACCGCGUCACCAAGCUGCUGCUGGACCAGAGGGCCGACCCCAACGCCAGGGCGCUGAACGGAUUCACGCCACUGCACAUCGCCUGCAAGAAGAACCGGGUGAAGGUGAUGGAGCUGCUGGUGAAGUACGGAGCCUCCAUCCAGGCCAUCACAGAGUCGGGUCUGACCCCGGUCCACGUGGCGGCCUUCAUGGGCCACCUGAACAUCGUCCUGCUGCUGCUGCAGAACGGAGCCUCCGCCGAUAUCAGCAACAUCCGGGGGGAGACGGCCCUCCACAUGGCAGCACGGGCCGGCCAGGUGGAGGUGGUGCGCUGCCUGCUGAGGAACGGAGCAAUGGUGGAUGCCAGAGCCAGGGAGGACCAGACUCCGCUCCACAUCGCCGCCCGUCUGGGGAAGACGGAGAUUGUGCAGCUGCUGCUGCAGCACAUGGCGCACCCCGACGCGCCCACCGCCAACGGCCACACCCCCCUGCACAUCUCCGCCCGCGAGGGCCAGCUGGAGACUGCCUCCGUGCUGCUGGAGGCCGGGGCCUCGCACUCCAUGGCCACCAAGAAAGGGUUCACUCCGCUCCACGUCGCCUCUAAGUACGGCCGUCUGGACCUGGCCGCCCUGCUCCUCUCCCGACGCGCCGCCCCCGAUGCUGCGGGCAAGAACGGCCUAACCCCGCUGCACGUGGCCGCGCACUACGACCACCAACAGGUGGCGCUGCUGCUGCUGGACAAGGGGGCAUCGCCCCUCGCCACCGCCAAGAACGGCUACACUCCGCUGCACAUCGCGGCCAAGAAGAACCAGCUGGAGAUGGCGGGGGUGCUGCUGGGCCACGGCGCCCUCCCCCACACCCUGACCCAGCAGGGGGUCACCGCCCUGCACCUCGCCGCCCAGGAGGGCCACGCCCACAUGGCCGCCCUGCUGCUGAGCAAGGCAGCGCAGCCCAACACGGCCACCAAGAGCGGCCUGACCUCGCUUCACCUGGCGGCCCAGGAGGACCGAGUGGGCGUGGCCGAGGUCCUCACCCGGCACGGAGCCAACGCCGACCAGCAGACCAAACUCGGCUACACCCCCCUGAUCGUGGCCUGUCACUACGGAAACGCCAAGAUGGUUCACUUCCUGCUGCAGAACGGGGCCGGAGUUAACGCCAAGACCAAGAGUGGUUACACUCCCCUCCACCAGGCGGCGCAGCAGGGAAACACUCACAUCAUCAACCUUCUGCUGCAGGCUGGAGCCAAACCCAACGCCAUCACAGUGAACGGCAACACAGCGCUGGCCAUCGCCCGCAGGCUGGGCUACAUCUCAGUGGUGGACACCCUGAGGGUGGUGACGGAGGAGGUCACCACCACCACCACGACGGUCACAGAGAAGCACAAACUCAACGUCCCGGAGACCAUGAACGAAGAGCUCGACGUUUCUGAUGAGGAGGGUAGGGCACACACACACACACACACACACACACACACACACACACACACACACACACACACACCGACUCCUCCCUCCCUCCUUCAACUGCUCUUGACACCCCCCCUCCCUCCCUGUAACCAAGGUGACGACACGAUGACGGGCGACGGGGGGGAGUACCUGAGGGCCGAGGACCUGAGGGAGCUCGGGGACGACUCUCUGCCGGGGCAAUACCUGGACGGGAUGAACUACCUGCGCUACAGCCUGGAGGGAGGGGGGCGCAUGGACAGCUCCUUCAGCCCGACCCAUCACAGCUUCUACACCCCCAAACACCAGGGCUUGAUGGAGGAUCUGCUCUCCAGCCACCAGGUUUCCAAUCUAACCCGGGACAACGAGAAGGACUCGUACCGACUCAGCUGGGGAACCGAGAACCUGGACAACGUGGCUCUGUCCUCUAGUCCCAUCCCCUCUGGCCGAUCCUCUCCCUGCCGCCAUCUUGGAGAAAACAGCAGCUUCCUGGUGAGCUUCAUGGUCGACGCACGAGGCGGGGCUAUGCGGGGCUGCCGCCACAACGGACUGAGGAUCCUGGUCCCGCCCAAGAAGUGCAGCGCCCCCACCAGGGUGACCUGCCGCCUGGUGAAGAGGCACCGCCUGGCCACCAUGCCCCCCCUGCUGGAGGGCGAGGGGCUUGCCAGCCGACUGGUGGAGGUCGGGCCCUCGGGGGCCCAGUUCCUGGGUAAGCUCCACCUCCCCACAGCUCCUCCCCCCCUUAACGAGGGCGAGAGCCUCGUUAGCCGUAUUCUCCAGCUGGGCCCCCCGGGGACUAGAUUCCUUGGCCCGGUGGUGGUGGAGAUCCCCCACUUCGCAGCGCUGCGGGGGACAGAGAGGGAGCUGGUGGUGAUGAGGAGCGAGGGGGGAGAUCAGUGGAAGGAGCACCAGUGUGACCACACUGAGGAGGAGCUCAACCAGGUCCUCAACGGCAUGGAUGAGGAGCUGGACUCGCCCCAGGAGCUGGAGAGGAAGCGUAUUUGCCGGAUCAUCACGCGGGAUUUCCCACAAUACUUUGCGGUGGUGUCGCGGGUGAAGCAGGACAGCGAGCUGAUUGGGCCGGAGGGCGGCGUGCUGAGCAGCACGGUGGUGCCUGCGGUGCGGGCCGCGUUCCCCCAGGGGGCGCUCACCAAGAAGAUCCGGGUGGGCCUGCAGGCCCAACCCAUGAGCCUGGAGCUGGUGCGCCGGACCCUGGGCAGCAAGGCCGCCUUCAGCCCCAUCGUCACGCUGGAGCCACGCAGGAGGAAGUUCCACAAGCCCAUCACCAUGACGCUCCCAGUCCCUGAAACCGGCUCCGACCCCGCCCUCAACGGAUUCAGGGGCGACGCGCCCUCCCUGAGGCUGCUCUGCAGCAUCACUGGAGGGACCACGCCCGCCCAGUGGGAGGACAUCACAGGGACCACGCCCCUGACCUUCACCAACGACUGCGUCUCCUUCACCACCAACGUCUCUGCCAGGUUCUGGCUGGUGGACUGCCGGCAGGCGCAGGAGUCUGUGAACUUCUCCACCCAGGUGUACCGGGAGGUCAUCUGCGUGCCUUACAUGGCCAAGUUCGUGGUCUUCGCUAAGACCCACGACCCGAUAGAGGCCCGCCUGCGCUGCUUCUGUAUGACGGACGACCGCAUGGAGAAGAGCCUGGAGCAGCAAGAGCUCUUCACUGAGGUGGCCCGCAGCCGGGACGUGGAGGUUCUGGAGGGGAAGCCCAUCUAUGCAGACUGCUGUGGUAACCUGGUGCCGCUCACCAAGAGCGGACAGCACCACCUCUUCAGCUUCUACGCCUUCAAGGAGAACCGCCUGGCACUCUUCAUCAAGGUCCGGGACAGCACCCAGGAGCCCUGCGGCCGGCUCUCCUUCAUGAGGGAACCCAGAAACUACCGCGCCUUGACCCAGAACGCCAUAUGCAACCUCAACAUCAGCCUGCCCUCAUACUGCAAGGACUCUGAUUCAGAUCAAGAACAAGAAAGCGAGUCGGGCCGACCACGAGGGAGAUACGAAGAGACAGAGACGUCCGUUCUGAAGUCAGAGUUGAUCCGCGACCCUGACCUUCUGUCUGACGUGUCCGAGAUGAAACAAGACCUGAUCAAAAUGACUGCCAUCUUGAUUGCAGAUCCCACUGAGAAAUCCCGGUCCUUAGUAGGGAGCCUUUCAGAGAAGGGGGCUGAGGAGGUGUCUGGAGGGCCGUUAGAAAGAAUGGAGAAGGACUUAGAGAAGGUCAAAGAGGACUUGGAGAAGGUCAGCGAGAUCUUGAGGGGCGGGGCCUAUGAGGGAGGUCUGGCCGAGGACUGGAUCCUCCUCUCUGAUGGUGAGGUAGAGGAAGCCAGAAGGAUGGCCACCUUGACUCUCAAAGAGCCUGUCCUGCGUGAAACCCGGGCCAAUAAAGGGGCUCCCAGGCCUAAAGCCAUCAAAGACAGCGGGGACCUGAAGGAGUAUCUCCCAGCCUCCUCCAAAACAAAAGCUCGGACGGAGGUCCACGAAAAUUUCACAGACGUUGUUCUACGUAAAAGCGCAAAACCCACCCCACCAAAAAAGUCCCAGGAUGAAUCCUCUAUUUCAGUUGUUAGAAAGCCGGUGAGGAGGAAGGGUAAAGAUCCGGAGAUCUCAGAUCCUUCAGAGACGGACGGACAUCUGGGUGUCCCUGCCACAGGCCCAAGGUCACCAAUAUCUCCUGUGAUUGAAGAAACGCCCAUUGGAUCAAUAAGAGAUAAAGUUAAGGCUCUACAGCAAAAAGUGGAGGCAGAACAGAAGACCAAGAAGGUCACUGGAAGCAAGCCCUCACAGUUGCCUUUCGGUAAAAUAUUGCCGAAGCCCAAAGAAAGCCCUAAAUCCAAACAGGGGCCCCCUAAGUCUCCCAAAGCUGAACAGCUGAAACCUGAGGAGACCAUGUCAGUCAAAGCGCUGAUGCAGGCUUUCCAAACAGGGCAGGAGUCCUCGAAGAGGACGGCUGGGCUUUUAGAAGUCAAGACACCCUGCAAAGCACCUUCCGAGGACCCCACAAAACAGCAAACCAUAGAUACAAAAUGUACGACGAAAGUAAUAACAACCCACGUCUCUCCAGAGAGAGAACUGUCCAUGGACUCCAAGCCGAGCAAAGAGGCAGCCAUCAAUGUCCCCGAUUCAGAACUGACUGAUACUGCAGACUUUGGACACGGUGGCCUGGAUGACAGCCCUGAUAGCUUGAAACACGAGGGUGUGGCAGACUCACGGAGCGCCAGUCCCGGAGAUGGGACCCCUCACUUGAGCUCUGAAGACAGCUAUAAGCACGAGGGCCUAGCGACCCCCAGCUCAAGUCCUGAAAGUCUGUCUCUCUCUCCUAAGAAUGGAGACCGCUUGACCAAAAAAUCUGAACCUGACUCCGCCACAGUCCAAGGACAAAGACAAGGCAACAAAACAUCCGCAGAAUCUGGCAUUUGGCCAAUUGAUGAACACAAUUCUACUGUAUUGAUCCCUGUCCCCACCAAUGAGGCUGCUGAUGAGCAUAGCACAAGUGAGUCCAUAGACUUUGGGACCGAAUCUAAGCCAGCUAAAGCUCGAAAGCUAACUAAGACAAUCUCAGAGACACUAGAGACGUUUCUUAGCGACGAGGAAGGCCCGGACAAUCAGCUCGCCGUACCGUCGGCCGGUUCCCCAGCCUCUAGGUCCUUCACUCUGAAUCAAGGGAGCUUAGACUUGCCUUUAAGACGCCAAGACUCAGAUGCCCUCAGCCCCUUAGGCGACGACUCUCUGACCAUUAGCCACAGAGACUCUUUGGAGGGUAGUCCUGUCAUGGAAGAGAAUUCCUCCCAGAAGUCUCCAGACUCCAUCGAACCUAGCCCGACCAGAGAGUCCCCCUGCCGGGACUCAUUGGAGAACAGCCCUACAGAGCAGACCAGCCGCUUACCCUUCCCUCCACACAUAGACCCCACUUCAGUGUCCUCUAGCCAGUCCUGCAGAGCCCCCGAGUUCCCACCCGAUGCUCUGCGCUCUAGGCUCCGAGACUGUGAGGCUAGUGCGGAGGACGACAGUUGUGAGCAGACAUCUCAGAUGACAAGUUCUGGUAAGAGUCCCCUUUCACCUGACACCCCCAGUUCUGAAGAGGUAAGUUAUGAGGUGAACCCUAGAUCCCCUGACCCUAUGUUCCUCCCUAUCCAAUCCAUACCAACUGUCAUCCCCGAAGACCCAGAGGAAGACAUGUCAGACAGCCGUGAGGCACAGAGAAAGAUAACCCCAGAGGAGGAGAUGUUUAAAAUGGCAGCAAAAAUAAAAACAUUUGAUGAGAUGGACCAGGACGCAAGAAGCAAACAGAACUCUAGAAAACAUACAUCAGCAGAUCUUGAAAUUGGGGAUGACAGCUACAUGACAGUGGACUCCAUGAGUUACAACCCUUUCCUCAGUGAAAGUGGUCUUGCUAUUCCCAUAGAGGAUUCAGGGUUAGCUGUUUGUAUUGAUUCCCAUAUUAAAAUACAACCUCCCUCCCCUUUUCCAGCAGGUGGGCAUGAAGAAAUCAACAAGACCUCAACUACAACCACCGUUGACACAUCUGAGGGACCUCAUUCCGACUCAGAUACAAAUUACGCAAAAGACAAACUGAACAUUUCUCUGGCACUGCCAGAAAAAGAAAUUCCAUCUGUAACGGUGGAUGACCGUAUUGGUACGGAAGCUAUCGUUGCCAAUGUAACGACCGAGCAGAGGCAAGAAAGCUUGAGGAAACUAAGCGAAAACAAAAAAGAUGUGGAAUUAGAAGGUCAUGUGGAGUUAGGGGAGCGCCAAUCUGCUCCUAUAAAAACAGCUAGCAACAUAACACACACAGAUCAAACGCCACAAAAAGUGACACCAGAGUCUGUAACCGGUGACUCUGUGGGGCUUGGAGUAGAUAAGGAGAAGUUGAGUCCUGGUCCUUGUAUCCCUGAUGCUAGCGAGGAAGAGCAGGGACCCCCCAAGACCGAGUCGAAGGGUGUCACUGCAAAGGCAGAAGGGGACCCCUGGAAUGCGAUGCGGGAAGACGAUGCCGCCUUUGCAGCACGCGUUAAAGAAGAGGAGCAAAAGAUCCUCAACCUGAUGGUGGAGCGUCCGUCGCAACAGGCCACCCCGGACACCACCCCUGGGAGAACCCCCACAGAGGAGGGCUCUCCCGCCAGCGAGCCCAACCCAUUCCUGUUCCAGGAGGGGAAGCUCUUUGAGAUGACUCGCAGCGGGGCUAUUGACAUGACUAAGAGGAGCUAUGAGGAGGAAGGCCCUGGCUUUGCCUUCUUCCAGAUUAGGGAGCAGCCUCUAGAGGAGGCUCCUGCUGAGGGGGGCGGGGUGGGCGCUGGUCGACCGGCUGAACCGGAGGUUGGCCUCAAUCUUACCAUCGAGGUUAGAACUCAGAAAGAGGAUGAAGUGAAAGAGGCUCCAGAUAGACAGCUUCCGUGCGCUGCUGAGGUCACACAGGUUAUCUCAGGUGAUGAUGGCUCAAAAUCUAAAAUCCCUAAAAUGGGAGUCUCAGCCUCAUCCAAAUCCACGAAGAAAGAUCCUACCCUUCCCGAAGCAGUAGAAGCUAAGGCAGAUAAACCAUCAGACGAGGGUCCUGUAGAUGUAAGCUCCUCUGAUCCAAUGAUGACAGACAUACAAACAGCAGAAAGUACAGUGACCAGGUCUGUGUACUCUGAGCAAAGCCAGGAGUCAUCUGAUUCCUCCCCAGAAGAACCCCAGUCAGUAGUAGAAUCGGCCAAAGCAGACGUUAAGGUAAAACAAGCGACAUCUGCCAAUGUCAAAAAGAUCCAGGUCAAACCCCAAGCCAAGAAUGUCUCUCAAGGUCGUGGGAAACCAACAACCCCAACUCAGUCUUACACCACUUCCUCCUCGAGGACUUUAAAAAAAGAGCCCUCAUUUACAUCUGAGUCCAAAUCUAGAAUCCCCAUCAAAGCGUCCCCUACCAAGUCUGAUUCAACAGUCAAACCCACAGACUCUACCCAGGAGAAAAGGCUUAAAAUCCCUGUUAAAAAGGACUCUAGGAGAAAAUCUGAGACAGAUGCUGGUCCCUCCGUGGAUACCAAAGCCAAGACGUCUUUCAAAGCCAAGAGCUUUUGUGAGGGGGAGUCAACCAGGCCCAAACCCAAAAAGGACCAGGGCCGUCCUUUGAGUGUGGAGUCGGCCAAGUCCAAAGGCUUCCAUUCAAGGCUGCCGGUCAGAAGGAAGGCCGGUCAGGUCACUCCUACUGCAACGCCAACCAAAGUCAAGCAGCAGCCGCAAAAAACCUCCCUUGAGUUCUUGCCCGAGAUAGGUGACGAAGCUGCAAAGCUUGUGGAGAAACUGGUUCAGGCAGAGAAAGACAAGGAGCGAGAAGCUACCGAUAAUAACUCAGAUGAUGAGAGCAGUCUUGUGGACCCUGCUGUUGUUGAAAAGGAAACAUUCCCUGAGGUGCAAUUUCCUCCUCCUGGGGGUGCGUUCCCUAUCCGGCCGCUAUGGGACCAGCCCACUGAGACGCAGUGCACCCCAGAACAUACCGUCCCCCGUCAAGUAGAUCCACAGGAUGAAGCCGAGAGGAGGGAGCAGAGGUUGGCAAUCAUAGCCGACCACCUUGGCUUCAGCUGGACAGAGCUGGCCCGAGAACUGGACUUCAGUGAGGAACGAAUCAACCAGAUAAGGGUUGGGAACCCCAACUCUCUGCAGGACCAGAGCCAUGCCUUGCUCCACCUCUGGACGAAGAGGGAGGGAACACACGCCACAGAUACCGCGCUGCUGAGAAGACUGACCAAGAUCAACCGAAUGGACAUAGUGCACAUCAUAGAGACCAAGAUCAACAAGUCCAACCAGGAGGACACAACGUCACACACCUAUGCAGAGAUCGAGCGAACGAUAGAGGACCGCAGUGAAGGGUUCUCUGCUCUUCACGAGGACAUCGAUAGUCCCAGGGCAUGCAGGCGCAGAGAGGCCUCUCCCCGCGUGGCUGGACGGACGGUGCCUGUGGUGUCAGCAGAGGAACUGUCUGCCAGCUCGUCCUCACUUGGUGAUCGUACUGGUCGCUUGGAGACGGAUACGUCGACAACAACACUACAGAACGAGACGGAAAAAACACACUCUUUACAAAGAGGAUAUGAGGAGGGAGCAGGCACAGUACACUUGUGCACUUUCAAACAAGAGAUAUCAGAGGAGUUAGGGCCGCUGUCCUCCGACAGCUCAGAAGAAGAGGUUCUGACCACCAGGGUGGUGCGCCGCAGAGUCAUUAUCCAGGGGGACGACUUCCCGGACAUCCCCCCCCAAACGGUGACCGAAGAGAAGUUCAUAGAUGACCACGGGAACAUGGUAGUAAAGAAGACCACGCGGAAGGUGAUCAGAAAGUUUCUGUCUGCGGACGGAGUGGAGAGGCAGGAGGUGCAGGUGGAGGGCGCUGAGCAGGAGGCAGUGCGUGUUGAGGAAGGAGACGUGUUCUCCAGAGUGGUCAAGAGGACGGUGGUCCGCAGCCAAGGAGACCAGCAUGAGUCCACCUUCUCUGAGCCGUGGGCGCCGGCUGAAGGAAGCAGCUCCCAGUUUGAGACGGAGGCUGUGCUAGGCCGCAAGGUGAGCCGGGUGGUGAAGACGACGGUGGUACGGGGCGAUCGGCUGGAGAAGCAGACCGGGGAUGCUUCCCUGGCCGCAGACCUGCCCUCCGCCCGGGACGACUUCAGGAAGGCCUUGGGUUAUGCUGGAGGCUUCGGGGAGUACCUCCUCCUGCCUCAUGUAGUGGAGCAGGAGGUGCUGCAGGGCGACGGCUCAGUGCUCAGAAGAACCUCGAUGCGUAAGUCGCGCUCCCAGAGGAGGACGGUGGUGCGGGACGGCCAGGGGAGGAAGCAUGUGACCCUGGAGCGGCUGGACGACGCCCCGGGGGCCCCUGGAGCCGACGCCCUCCAGCAGAAACUCCGCCUGCUGCUGCAACACUACUGCUGCGACGCCCCGCCCCUCAGGGGGGAGGGGCGGGGGACCAGCCCGCCGGGAGCCGGGGGGGACCCGUCCUGUCUCCUCCCUACCGGCCCGCCCUGCUCUCCGCACCAGUCAUAACGGGUCUCUACGUCCAGCAUCUGGUCCACUGGUCUGCCUCUGGUCCACUGGUCUGCCUCUGGUCCACUGGUCUGCUGGUCUGCCUCUGGUCCUCUGGUCUGCCUCUGGUCCACUGCUCCACUGGUCUGCCUCUGGUCCACUGGUCUGCCACUGCUCCACUGGUCUGCCUCUGGUCCACUGGUCUGCCACUGGUCCACUGGUCUGCCACUGGUCCACUGGUCUGCCACUGGUCCACU
RNA transcript from Gadus macrocephalus (Pacific cod), 11483 nucleotides. It is a transcript of the gene named ankyrin 2b, neuronal, with no coding region annotated. The record is from RefSeq and is a predicted model, not a curated record. The transcript has 50 exons. NCBI's taxonomy places the organism in Eukaryota, Metazoa, Chordata, Actinopteri, Gadiformes, Gadidae.